GUGGGGAAUCUUAGACAAUGGGCGCAAGCCUGAUCUAGCCAUGCCGCGUGAGCGAUGAAGGCCUUAGGGUUGUAAAGCUCUUUCAGUGGGGAAGAUAAUGACUGUACCCACAGAAGAAGCCCCGGCUAACUCCGUGCCAGCAGCCGCGGUAAUACGGAGGGGGCUAGCGUUGUUCGGAAUUACUGGGCGUAAAGCGCACGUAGGCGGACUGGAAAGUCAGGGGUGAAAUCCCGGGGCUCAACCCCGGAACUGCCUUUGGAACUCCCAGUCUUGAGGUCGAGAGAGGUGAGUGGAAUUCCGAGUGUAGAGGUGAAAUUCGUAGAUAUUCGGAGGAACACCAGUGGCGAAGGCGGCCCACUGGCUCGAUACUGACGCUGAGGUGCGAAAGCGUGGGGAGCAAACAGGAUUAGAAACCCGUGUAGUCC
This 425-nucleotide ribosomal RNA is filed under the name uncultured bacterium. RNAcentral's name for it is "partial 16S ribosomal RNA". It matches the Rfam family "Bacterial small subunit ribosomal RNA", at positions 354 to 796 of the family's 1533-position model. The record is from RNAcentral.